AUUGAACGCUGGCGGCAUGCUUUACACAUGCAAGUCGAACGGUAACAGGCCGCAAGGUGCUGACGAGUGGCGAACGGGUGAGUAAUGCAUCGGAACGUGCACAGUCGUGGGGGAUAACUACUCGAAAGAGUAGCUAAUACCGCAUACGAUCUAUGGAUGAAAGCGGGGGACCGUAAGGACUCGCGCGAUUGGAGCGGCCGAUGUCAGAUUAGGUAGUUGGUGGGGUAAAGGCUCACCAAGCCAACGAUCUGUAGCUGGUCUGAGAGGACGACCAGCCACACUGGGACUGAGACACGGCCCAGACUCCUACGGGAGGCAGCAGUGGGGAAUUUUGGACAAUGGGCGCAAGCCUGAUCCAGCAAUGCCGCGUGCAGGAAGAAGGCCUUCGGGUUGUAAACUGCUUUUGUACGGAACGAAACGGCUCUGGUUAAUACCCGGGGCCAAUGACGGUACCGUAAGAAUAAGCACCGGCUAACUACGUG
Molecule: ribosomal RNA, 482 nt
Filed under: uncultured bacterium
Lineage: Bacteria
Description: partial 16S ribosomal RNA
Rfam family: Bacterial small subunit ribosomal RNA
Source: RNAcentral